CCACUGUCCUGCUGCUCCUCAGGACCAGCCCUCACAUGUGCUUUGCGCUUCAAUGAAGGGGCCACUUGUGCAAUCAGGUGUUUACCUAUGUACAUGCAGCCUUUGAGAAGUUUGAGCCAUAAGAAUUAAGCUUUGGAUGCAGAACCGAGAAAACUUGAUCCGAAACCUUGACAGGAUGCUGGGUUCCUGGCGUACUGACAGUCCCCCGCCAUAGGGGUGGCAUUAAUGAAGGGGCACUGCCUACCUUACAAGAGCUG
Long non-coding RNA from Suricata suricatta (meerkat), 257 nucleotides. RefSeq lists it as uncharacterized. The transcript has 3 exons. The record is from RefSeq and is a predicted model, not a curated record. NCBI's taxonomy places the organism in Eukaryota, Metazoa, Chordata, Mammalia, Carnivora, Herpestidae.